RNAcentral lists this ribosomal RNA (493 nucleotides) under uncultured Streptococcus sp. Its description in RNAcentral is "bacterial SSU rRNA". It matches the Rfam family "Bacterial small subunit ribosomal RNA", at positions 30 to 507 of the family's 1533-position model. Lineage: Bacteria; Bacillati; Bacillota; Bacilli; Lactobacillales; Streptococcaceae. The record is from RNAcentral.
CGAACGCUGGCGGCGUGCCUAAUACAUGCAAGUAGAACGCUGAAGGAGGAGCUUGCUCUUCUGGAUGAGUUGCGAACGGGUGAGUAACGCGUAGGUAACCUGCCUGGUAGCGGGGGAUAACUAUUGGAAACGAUAGCUAAUACCGCAUAACAGUAGAUGUUGCAUGACAUUUGCUUAAAAGGUGCAAUUGCAUCACUACCAGAUGGACCUGCGUUGUAUUAGCUAGUUGGUGAGGUAACGGCUCACCAAGGCAACGAUACAUAGCCGACCUGAGAGGGUGAUCGGCCACACUGGGACUGAGACACGGCCCAGACUCCUACGGGAGGCAGCAGUGGGGAAUCUUCGGCAAUGGACGGAGGUCUGACCGAGCAACGCCGCGUGAGUGAAGAAGGUUUUCGGAUCGUAAAGCUCUGUUGUAAGAGAAGAACGAGUGUGAGAGUGGAAAGUUCACACUGUGACGGUAUCUUACCAGAAAGGGACGGCUAACUACGUG